CCUUCGAUAGCUCAGUUGGUAGAGCGGAGGACUGUAGUGGAAUCUUUCGCCUUGGAGGUAUCCUUAGGUCGCUGGUUCGAAUCCGGCUCGAAGGA
RNAcentral lists this transfer RNA (95 nucleotides) under Mesocricetus auratus (golden hamster). It matches the Rfam family "tRNA". Rfam says of the family: Transfer RNA (tRNA) molecules are approximately 80 nucleotides in length. Their secondary structure includes four short double-helical elements and three loops (D, anti-codon, and T loops). The record is from Rfam by way of RNAcentral. Lineage: Eukaryota; Metazoa; Chordata; Mammalia; Rodentia; Cricetidae.